Nelumbo nucifera (sacred lotus) is the source of this 2943-nucleotide long non-coding RNA. RefSeq lists it as uncharacterized. The record is from RefSeq and is a predicted model, not a curated record. Lineage: Eukaryota; Viridiplantae; Streptophyta; Magnoliopsida; Proteales; Nelumbonaceae.
GAAUGGACAAGAAUGAAUGAGAUGUAGGUGUUUGAAUAUUCAUUUCUUGCCACAGGACUCAUUCUUCCCAGAAUGAAAUUUGGGUCUCGGCAAAAAUUUAACACUUACCAAUUCUUUUUUUUUUUUUCGUUUGAGUUUGAAACUUGAGUCCUCUCGGCUGAAGUCACUAAAUCCUCGUCCCUCUCCCUCUGUGUGUGUGUACAAGGUAGUUGAGAUCGAUCUCGAUCUGUUGAAGUCCUAAAGCUAAGAUCAACUCUCUCUCUCUCUCUCUCUCUCUCUCUAUAUAUAUAUAUAUAUAUACAAGGUGAAGCUGAGAUCGAUCUCAAUCUAUUGAAGUCCUAAAGCAAAGAUCGACUCUGUCUCUCUCUGUACAAGGUAAAGCUGAGAUAGAUCUCGAUCUGUUGAAGUCCUAAAGCUAAGAUCAAUCCAAAGAGCUCAAAACCAAGGUAAACUCUCUCUCUCUCUCUCUCUCUCUUUGUCUUCAUCUUUUUCUUUCUUGUCUUCUUCUUCUUCAUCUCCUUCUCAAGCUGCACACAGAAGAUGGAUACCUCCUCCUCCUCCUUCGUCUUCUUCUUCUUCUUCUUCUUACUCCGUUUUUCCCCUUUUAGGUUGACCACCAAUAUCAGCCCUAUAACCAUUAAAAGAAAGCAGCAUCGACUAAAGUAUUUGAUCAAUUUUUGUCUCUUCAUUAUUUUCCUUAUUGGUAUUUGUGUUCGAAUCAUUAUGGAAUUUAUACAUUUAAGUAUAAAUUGUUGUUGUUAUUUUGAUGCAAUUAAAGUAAUUAGUUGAAAAUGAGAAAAUUAUAGUGCCAAUUUUACAUAUGUUGUUUUCACGAUGCUAAGACGUUUCAUCCAAAGGAUUGACCAGAUUCGUUUCACAAACUUUAUUUACCACAUAACAGUUGAUCUGGUUUACACCAACCUCAUAAAGUUUGCUUUUCUGUUAUUUUUCUGCCACUGUUUAUCUUGAUCUUAUACUCAGCCCUCAGCAUUAGAAAUAGAUAAAGUUACAAAUUUGAUGGGGUCCUACAUUACUUGGUCUGAUAAAAUUAAAUAGUGAAAUCCAUGUUAAGGAUGUUCUAGACUGGUUAUUAAUGGAAGCAUGUUCUACUGUUUGUUUCUUAUAUGUUGAUCACAAGUGUGUAAGCUAUUAGGCAAUCAGUUUUAUGUAUUUUUUUUUUCAUUUAAUUCCACUUUUUUUUUGCUUUCAUAUGCAUCCUUUAGCUCCCACUAAUAGAGGCUCCAAGUGAUUUUCAAUGAAUGGAAUAUUUUAAAUGUUUUGUGAUACAUAGAAUCUGAAUCUGUUUUUGGAAGAAAUUUUUCCUCUUAUAAAAUAAAUGUCUAUUUUCCCUUUGCCCUCACAGUUUUUGAGAGAUGAGGAAUCAAUUAGUUUAUUAUACAAAUUUUCUCCAUCUCUUUGAGUAUGAAGACUACAUGUCCCAUGUUCUUUCCUAUCAACUAAAGCUCAAAGUAGGAAUCUAUAAUCUCUCUGUACAUUUGUAAUAUAUUAUACAAAAUAUGGAAAAAAUAAUCAAUAAACCCUUGUUAUCCUAUAAGAUGAUUCUUACAUAGCCACCUAAUAAAUGCUCUGACCUUACUCUAUGGAGAAUGAGGAUUGAUUAAAUAGACAUCCUAGACAGAUAGAGAUGAAGAGCUGAUCCAUGUCCCCUCUGAUGACAAAUUCUAGGUCUGGGCUCCACUUGAACCCUGGGGUAUCAUCUGUUGGAAAUAUUCCCUUAUUCCUGAAAACCUUGAAUCUUCACCAAAUAUGCUUGGAUCUGAAAUCUCAUCUUGGAUGGCCAUCGAGCCUUCUAGCAUUCUCACCACUUGGGACAUGCUAGGCCUAAGUGUGGGAGAUGCAGUAAUGCACAAGAGAGCUGCUUUAAUCAUCCUUUCCACCUAUUGCCCAUUGAAAUCACUUCCAACCUUGGAUCCGCCAACUCUAGUAAGCUUUCUCUCUGCUGCAAAAUAAAGGCCUUAAAUUACGUUGAAUGCUCCAAAGUAAUUACUUUGAAUGCAGCUUUAGGCUUUAUUAGCUGAACUAAGGUUUUCACCCCUGGACCCUUAGUCAAUGUGGAUCAAAGUAUGUUUCAGCUUAAAUCCAAGACUCAAAAGGUGAUUUGUUUUUUGUUGUUGUAAUUUGCCUCUAAAUAGACUGUGGGUUGGAGCAUCCUCUAUAGAAGAACAACUAGGAAUAUUUGUUAUAAUCUUGGCACAAACUUUAUCAAAUAGGAUGGUAGCUGAGAUCUUCCAAUACUCUGAAGAAACUAUUCAUUGCCACUUUAAAAGGAUGUUGAAGGCAAUUUUGAAAUUAGGUCGUGAGGUUAUUGCUCCAAUCCAAUAUGAAGGUGUUGCACCAGAAAUAGCACGGGAUUCAAGAUAUUUUCCAUAUUUUAAGAUGGGAAGGGUCAACAAACGACUCUAGAAUUUUUACAGAAGCAUUAACAAUGCCUAAAGUUGAGUUCCCUAUGCCUCCAAGUGGUAAAUAUUAUGUAGUGGAUUCGGGUUUCACUACUAUUACAGGAUUUCUCACCCCAUUUAAAGGUGACCAUUAUCAUUUGCAAGAAUAUAGGACAGUGAGACGACGACUGAAGGAUGCUCGUGAAUUGUUUAACCUUCAUCAUUCAUCACUUUGUAAUGUAAUAGAACGAUGCUUUGGAGUGUUGAAGGAACAUUUUCAAAUUCUGAACCACAUGAAACCUUAUAGUAUUGGCACACAAAGGCGCAUAAUCAUUGCAUGUUGUACACUUCAUAAUUUCAUUAGGCUGGAGAUAUUACUUGAUCAAGAAGAUCCAUUGUUCAGAAUAUAUGAAAAUGAAGAAGUUGUCAAAGAUAGCAACACAGUUGCAUCAUCAAAUACACAAACACUAAAUUAAGUGCUUGUAAUUGAGACGAAACAAUGAAAAUGUUACAGAUUGAUAUUAGUAAUCAGUUGGCUGAUAAA